Molecule: ribosomal RNA, 427 nt
Filed under: uncultured prokaryote
Description: bacterial SSU rRNA
Rfam family: Bacterial small subunit ribosomal RNA
Source: RNAcentral
UGGGGAAUUUUGGACAAUGGGCGCAAGCCUGAUCCAGCCAUGCCGCGUGAGUGAAGAAGGCCUUCGGGUUGUAAAGCUCUUUCGGUUGGGAAGAAAUUGCUUCGGAUAAUACCCGGAGUAGAUGACGGUACCAGCAUAAGAAGCACCGGCUAACUACGUGCCAGCAGCCGCGGUAAUACGUAGGGUGCGAGCGUUAAUCGGAAUUACUGGGCGUAAAGCGUGCGCAGGCGGUUGUGUAAGUCAGAUGUGAAAUCCCCGGGCUCAACCUGGGAACUGCAUUUGAGACUGCACGGCUAGAGUGUAGCAGAGGGGGGUAGAAUUCCACGUGUAGCAGUGAAAUGCGUAGAGAUGUGGAGGAAUACCGAUGGCGAAGGCAGCCCCCUGGGUUACUACUGACGCUCAUGCACGAAAGCGUGGGGAUCAAACA